Molecule: ribosomal RNA, 253 nt
Filed under: uncultured bacterium
Lineage: Bacteria
Description: partial 16S ribosomal RNA
Rfam family: Bacterial small subunit ribosomal RNA
Source: RNAcentral
UACGGGGGGGGCAAGCGUUGUUCGGAAUUACUGGGCGUAAAGGGCUCGUAGGCGGCCAACUAAGUCAGACGUGAAAUCCCUCGGCUUAACCGGGGAACUGCGUCUGAUACUGGAUGGCUUGAAUCCGGGAGAGGGAUGCGGAAUUCCAGGUGUAGCGGUGAAAUGCGCAGAUAUCAGGAGGAACACCGGUGGCGAAGGCGGGUCUCUGGGCCGUAACUGACGCUGAGGAGCGAAAGCGUGGGGAGCAAACAGG